CAAGUUGCUUCCUCCUUCCUUUGUUCCUCUCUACCUUUGCCUCUUUUAAAAAGUUCUAAGUUUCUAGCCAAUCGGGACAAAUAGAGAAUGUGAGGUUCCGUUCCAGCCAGUGGAAGCCAGACACGGCAGUACGGUGGACGCAUCAGGUUAAACAUGGCCCUGUCACCUUUGUUCGGUAUAUUCUCGUGGAAAAACUGCUGAUACAGUGAGAAGUCGGCAGUCUGAAGCCUGGCAGAGGACCCUCACCAGAACUCAACCAUGCUGGCCGCCUGAUCUAAGGAAUUCCAGAGACCAAAAUUAUGAGAAACAAAUGUGUUAUGUGUAAGCCACCUAUCUAUGGUAAUAUGUCACAGCAGUCUAAGACAAGUGAAAUACAUGCAUUCAUUCAGAAAUAAAAAUAGUGAUAAUGAAAACAAAAGUUAUUAUUUUAAUCCCACUGAUAUGGUUUGAGUUUGUCUCCCCAUCCAAAUCUCAUGUCAAAUUGUAAUCACUCGUGUUGGAGGUAGGGCUUGGUGGGAGCUGAUUGGAUCAUGGGCACAGAGUUCUCUUGAAAGCGUUAGCAUCAUCCCUGAGGUGCUACUCUCUUGAUAGUGAAUGAGUGAGUUAUCAUAGGUGCUACUCUCUUGAUAGUGAAUGAGUGAAUUAUCAUAGGUGCUACUCUCUUGAUAGUGAAUGAGUGAGUUAUCAUGAGAUCUGGUUGUUUAAAAGUGUGUCGCACCUACCCUGUCUUCC
RNAcentral lists this long non-coding RNA (732 nucleotides) under Homo sapiens (human). RNAcentral describes it as "HSALNT0076606". The record is from RNAcentral. Lineage: Eukaryota; Metazoa; Chordata; Mammalia; Primates; Hominidae.